This is a long non-coding RNA of Bombus impatiens (common eastern bumble bee), 538 nucleotides long. RefSeq lists it as uncharacterized. The transcript has 2 exons. Lineage: Eukaryota; Metazoa; Arthropoda; Insecta; Hymenoptera; Apidae. The record is from RefSeq and is a predicted model, not a curated record.
UGGCUACGGGUGUAACUUCAUAGGUAGCAUUACGAAAUUCCGACACGCAGUAACACGGCCACUGUGGCCAAAAUAAUUAACACAAAAAGGAGCAGCACAUCCACCGUUAGAUGUUAAAUUCGUGGUACAAUUGAAGUCAGCGAGAUUUUAUGGCUCAAAAUAAUAUGGAAGAUAGGAAUGACAAAAUUGCGUUGGAGAUUUCAUUUGUGAUAAAGUUGGACUUGAAAAAUUAGUUGUUAUAUCACACACUAGUAGAAUAAUGUAUGCACAAAUGUAGACCAAAAUAUAUAUUCCUAUAACAAGGAAGUUCAAAUAAGAUAUUUAAACAUUGUAUGUGGCCAUUGACGCAGAAUGAAAUAACAUGUGAAACAAAAGAGUCUUUCAAAUGCUGUUCUUGAACUUAUAGUAGAAUGCUCUCGUACUCGACAAGGCAAACAGGAAUUCGAUCAAUUGGCAUAGCCAAUUUUUUUCUUUUCCUAUUAAUAGUAGGUACAUACCUGGAAUUUCGGAUGGUCUCGCAAAGAAGACACAAUGUUCU